RNAcentral lists this small nucleolar RNA (139 nucleotides) under Setaria italica (foxtail millet). RNAcentral describes it as "Small nucleolar RNA Z247". It matches the Rfam family "Small nucleolar RNA Z247". From Rfam's summary of the family: Z247 is a member of the C/D class of snoRNA which contain the C (UGAUGA) and D (CUGA) box motifs. Most of the members of the box C/D family function in directing site-specific 2'-O-methylation of substrate RNAs. The record is from Rfam by way of RNAcentral. Lineage: Eukaryota; Viridiplantae; Streptophyta; Magnoliopsida; Poales; Poaceae.
CCGAUGGACGAUGAAGAACUCAUCUCUCACAUCUGCAAUGAUCUCGACUCCGAGUACAACCCGGUGGUGACAGCGAUUGCCGCAAGGGUUGAGGUGAUCUCGAUCCCUGAGCUCUACUCUCAACUCCUCAGUUUCAAGA